This 513-nucleotide ribosomal RNA is filed under the name uncultured bacterium. Its description in RNAcentral is "partial 16S ribosomal RNA". It matches the Rfam family "Bacterial small subunit ribosomal RNA", at positions 28 to 523 of the family's 1533-position model. The record is from RNAcentral.
GAUGAACGCUGGCGGCGUGCCUAAUACAUGCAAGUCGAACGCACAGCGAAAGGUGCUUGCACCUUUCAAGUGAGUGGCGAACGGGUGAGUAACACGUGGACAACCUGCCUCAAGGCUGGGGAUAACAUUUGGAAACAGAUGCUAAUACCGAAUAAAACUCAGUGUCGCAUGACACAAAGUUAAAAGGCGCUUUGGCGUCACCUAGAGAUGGAUCCGCGGUGCAUUAGUUAGUUGGUGGGGUAAAGGCCUACCAAGACAAUGAUGCAUAGCCGGGUGGAGAGACUGAUCGGCCACAUUGGGACUGAGACACGGCCCAAACUCCUACGGGAGGCUGCAGUAGGGAAUCUUCCACAAUGGGCGAAAGCCUGAUGGAGCAACGCCGCGUGUGUGAUGAAGGCUUUCGGGUCGUAAAGCACUGUUGUAUGGGAAGAACAGCUAGAAUAGGGAAUGAUUUUAGUUUGACGGUACCAUACCAGAAAGGGACGGCUAAAUACGUGCCAGCCGCCGCCGUAA